CGCGCUCGGUGAGUAUAAGGAGCCUAGGAGAAGAGAGAAAAGAGAGGGAAUAGAGUAGGUACGUCGGUUUAGAGAGGAGGUGUGCGAGUGGAAGAGGAGAAGAGGGGUCGUCAACAGCACUGGUGAUGGCGAUGCCACGGCUGGCCGGUACCGGAGGCGGGUGGAAACGUGCAGAAAGGAAAGCCACGGCCACCGACAGCGGGUGGAGUGGGAAAGGGAGACUGCUUCUUUGUACUAACGUUCUUCGACGUUGGUACCGGCAUCUUUCAACCUUGGCGCUGGCGCCUACGACGUUGCCGCUGUCAUCACUCAACCUUGACCACUGGUGAGCGUGAUCUUGACAGUGGAGUCCUACGAUGUUGCUACUGAUGCCGCUCGACCUUGGUACGGUGCUCUACAACGCAUCCACCGGGUGCGCUGGUGGUUACAACGUUGGCCGCUCCACUCAACGACCCUGGUCGAUGUGCAAAAGGACUUAGCCAUGAACCAGAACUACGUAUCCGUAAUGUACACUACAACUACGAUGUUGGCCGCCGCCUCAACGAUCCUAGCUGUUGUACUAAAAAACACAACCACUGGCGACCACGAUAACUACACCCGCUGCUGUUCCUGUCGUACCUGGCUCCGCUCUGCUGCUGUUGUUGUCCCUGGUCGCCGCCGCCACGCUCCCGUCGCUCUACCGCUACGAAGCUCCCGUCAGCGGAACGGACAGGUACCGCCGUUGGCCGCCUUUACCCGGCGUAGUUCGAUUCGGGUUCACUCGCGGAGUGGCUCCCAGGCCCCGGGUUCGGUACGCAGCAGCAGAAGGUGCGGCGGCAGGAAGGAGGCGAAGAAGGCGUCACUGGAGAGCGCGCGGCCUCGCCCACCUCACCUAGUCGAGAUCUAUCCAGCUCGUCUAGCUACCACCGGCCGCUCGUGGCCGCGGCCGCCUGCCGCAACACCUCGUCCUCCUGGGUCGCGUCGCAGCCGCCGCACCACCACCUGUCGCGCGCGCCGCCCCUGUCCCGCCGUCCGCCGGCACCGGCGAGCCCGAGUCCAUUCUUGUCGGAGAUGACAUGUUAUACAUGAUCUGACUCUUAUAAAUCAGGGUGUAGUGACCCCCACUUCCCCCCCUUAUAUUUACAACGACGCGUCGUCGUCGGGUUCAUGACAAGAACCAUCUUGGUGUCAAAUGAGAAAUUUGAAUCUUAAUGGUUGUUUUAAAACGAGAAAUUUGAAUCUUAAUGGUUGUUGUAGAACUGGACGUCCAAGAAAACAAUUGUUAAACAUCUUAAACUCUACUGGUGGCAAUGAGACGAACCUUACUAUAACAAGGUGUCAUCCUGUAGCAAAUGAAGACAGAUAUGUAUCCACGAGAACUAAAAAAAAUUGUACCUCAUCUACAAGGAACAUCUUAAAACAAACUACGUUACUUACUGAGACCAUCGCAGAGCCUGUACUAAACUCUAGUGUCUAGUCCUAAGAGUACCGCGACAGGCACUGAACGUACUGGGUCAUGAAAACAAAACAGUAGCUGGGCCAUGGAAGAGUACCUACAGUCUUUAAUAAUCCAGGGAAACUUAACAAGACUAGUACAUACAACGGUGUAGGUCCUGGAGACUACUAAAAAGUUAACCUCGGAAGGCCACAAUGGAUAACACGACAAGUAUCUGAACCUUCAACUUAUAACGUUACGACCAUGUAACGUCACGUACGUUCUUUUGAGACAAAGUGUAUGGUUCAAAAAUAGAACAGUAAAAGAAUGGCUAACUUAGAAUGAUUACACCGAUAACAGAUAGUAUUAACGUCGUCGGGAGUGACGUCAAAGCGUGGUUUAAUGGUUGAUCACGGAUUUACCCAACCAUCUUAAACAUCUACUAUCCACACCAUCGUGACAUAGACAAUGAGUAAACGAUAAACCGUCUAACCGUAAGGAAAAAGAUAAAUGUACAAAUGGAAAUGUUUUCAUACUGGAAAUUCAACUACUUUAGGAUACAAAAGUCGACUCUACGCACGUGCACUAACCAUAUUAUAAUAAUGUACGGUAUAUGUCGUACAUACCGAAGAAGUCUUGAAACAAUAACCAAUUGUACAAGUCUAUGGUAGAAGUCCGUGACUCAGUUAUUCCCGCACCAUUAAAAUGACAAAAUCCGUGACUUCCACCGACCGAACUUUUAAAAUUAGAAGUCAGACCCUAAUCAGCACCGUCAAUGUAACUAUCGAGUGACCGUUACGUGACAUGUGCACUUUCUUCAACAACCUAAUACAACACUACGAUGUUUACCGAGAGACCAAUCACGACCUAUGUCACCACUGUAAUUCCAAACUACUAUGACAACGUGACAUCAAGUUAAUGUCGAAUAAAAUAAAAAAGUUUUUUAUAACGUCAAACAAAAUCACGGACAAAUCAUUCACGUAUAUGAAAUACCUUACGAUUACAGUGAAGUAAAGUAGAAGGUACGAGAAUAGGUAACCAUUUUUAAUACAAGGAGAAGACUACGACGUUGGUUAUUAUGUACCUCAUAACGUGUGGGUCGA
RNAcentral lists this ribosomal RNA (2517 nucleotides) under Triticum aestivum (bread wheat). RNAcentral's name for it is "partial small subunit ribosomal RNA". Lineage: Eukaryota; Viridiplantae; Streptophyta; Magnoliopsida; Poales; Poaceae. The record is from RNAcentral.